RNAcentral lists this long non-coding RNA (3033 nucleotides) under Vigna radiata. Its description in RNAcentral is "long non-coding RNA (VRAD_LNC000153)". The record is from RNAcentral. Lineage: Eukaryota; Viridiplantae; Streptophyta; Magnoliopsida; Fabales; Fabaceae.
UUUGACACAUUGUUUCUUGUAACACCCCGACAACUUACAAGAACUAUUGACUGCCCCCACACAUCACCACGAGACUUUCCAGUGUCCUUUGUCCUCACUCGCACACUUUUCGGGAAAACUUCCCGGAAGAUCACCAAUCCCAGAAUUUCUCCAGGCUAAGCACGCUUAACCAUGGAGUUCUUAUGGGUUAGGCUUCCGAAAAGUAAAUGCAUUUUUGGUGAUAUGGGUAACCAAAUCAAUUCCUCUAAGUUAUCCUUCAACUUUAUAGUCUCAUACCUAUAUAGUCUUCAAAUCCCUCUCAUUCCGGUGUAUGUUCGAUUCUUCCAUGUGUCCCUUCCACUGGAAGCCUGCCAGGAGCCGCUCCUUGUCUGUGCCCCCUACACCAUGCCUCUUGCACCAGCGAUCACUCCCCGUCCUCGUCAGUGUCCGGGUGUCACAUUUCUCACUUCCUGUUAUAAAAAUCAUGUCAAAUGAGUGUAGGUAUGUCAAUCUACCACUACCCUUCAUGAAAUGAGAUUUACAAUGUGUUAUUAUGCUUGUGAGUUGGAAAAAAAUAAUAAUAGAAUGACACAUGUGACAUCCCCAUUAUAUACGUCAUGCAUAUAAAAUAAGACGUCACCACAUACUAUACUAGAAAGCAGUUAGAGUAAUUAAAGUAUGAGGAUUAAAGUCAUCCACAAUUUGAGUAAGACUUUGAAACUUAAAGUGCUAGAGUAUCUCAAAAUGACAUAAAUUUAAAAGUGUUCCAAAAGGGCUCAACAGGCCUAGAAAUCAUAAAGAGUCUAAGCAACAACAUCUUCAUUUCCUUCCAAGACGUUCUCUAGGGAGACCUCAUUCUCCUCUGCUCACAUCCAAAAUGGAUGAUCAUCGCAACCGGAAAGCACACACAAACAUGGCACAACACAAGCAAUGCAAGGGUGAGCUAAUUAUAUAUAUAAAAAAAAAACAUGUAUCAGAUUAAACAUAUAAUCAUACAAGAGUGAACUUAAAUCAAAAUAGUAAGAAAUACAACAUAAGCAAUAUUCAUUCUAGACUUGACUCGUCCGGACAUUAAAAUGAUAGUUGGACUAUGGCGAGUCUUGCACCCGUGGUGACUUAUGAAACUUGGGUUCCCUACCCUGCCACACUCACGAGGUUAGUCCGUUCCGCGCCUUGAGGCAUACUGGGAGCCCCCAAGACUAAGGACCUCCUGCUACUUCUCACCACAUGGUUCAACCUCUCUAAGUGAGUUUGAUUGACCAUUGAAGCGUCAGAAUGACUCCCAAGGUUGAGCCCCUACUUUCAUUUUAAAACACUAAGAAUCUCACCAAGAGAUUCGACACUUUGAAUCACACUUACUAACUUGAAUUAUAAUGUACUUUGAAACAUACCAUGAACAACCUGGAAAUCAUACCUCUUUACUUUCGAACUCCUAUACUUUGGAUUAUAAUCAACACAGAUGUUAAAGUUCUAAAAUUCAAAGUAAUUAUUUAAUCAAAAGAAUAAGUUAACCAAUACUUCGUAGACUUCAACCCUGAAGUGUAACAUUAUUCAUAAGAAAACCCAAGAAGGCAAUACAAUUACUCCUCUUCUAUUCCACUACCUAUGCAACUUUUCACGUAAAACUCCCUUAAACAAAAGAUAUACCCUUCUCAAUCUACCAUCGAUGGGACCUAUAAGUAGUAAUACAAAUCUCUACACUUUUGAAAAUAUCAAACCAAGAAAAUACUGGAACUUCUCCCCUGCACCUUCACUUUUAAUUUCCUUAAAAUCAAAUGAUCUCAUCUAUUAAAAUAUUCAAAAUUCCAAUCCAAAUAAAAAGUUUCUCUCCUGGACGUAACCUUUCCUAUAUAAAAUAAUAGAUAAAAAAACUAAAACAUGUUUAUAUUAAAUCCACGACCAUUCCUUUAUUUAAUUAUAUAUUUUUUUCUAACUUAUAAACUCACCAACUCUGUAACCAAACUUCACUCAAAAUAAAAUUUUAUUCUCUUUUCUAUACUAUAUUAUAUUAAUAGAAAUUAAAAUCACACACAAUUUCAGCUUCUAAUUAUAUAUAUAUAUAUAUAUAUAUAUAUAUAUAUAUAUAUAUAUAUAUAUAUAUAUAUAUAUAUAUAUANAUAAUAAAUAUAACUUAAUCCUGUUAAGUUUCGAUACAUAUAUAUUAUUAUAUAAUAUAUGUAAUAUAAUCCCUUAUAUAGAAGUUAUAUAUAUUAUAUAAUAUACAAAAGAAUGUAAAAGAUAUAUUAAUGUUAAGUUUCUAAACAGUCAUAUAAAAGUUAUAUAUAUUAUUAUACAAUAUGCAAUGGUAAGUAAAAGAUAUAUAUUUAUAUUCUAUACAAAGAUCAGAAAACCAAAUGAAUAUAGUAUAAUAUAUUAUUUAUAUCAAUCUUGAUAUUAAAAGGAAACCUAACAAAUCUAAAAACUCAUCAUCCUAUUUCCUCUUCUGUUACCCAAUUUCUCUCACAUCUUAUAUAAUCAAUUUAAUAACAUUACAUUCAAUUUCUGUUAGCAACUCAAUUCAAAGCAGAUAAGAUUCAUCACCAUGCCAAUUCACAGAUUUAUACUGGCAUCCAGUAAAAUUAACAAUUGCAGAGCAGCUUCACAAAUACAUCAGUUCAACAUUCAACAUGUAAUUAUUUUAUAAAAUAAAUUCCUAAAAAAAAUAAUCAACUCCCCUUACCUCUAGGUUGUCCCGUACAGUCUAUAGAAAACACCCUAAUAGUGACCCACACGGCGAUGCACUUACAGAACCUACAAAUCACUAAAUUGGUGAUGGAGAACAACUCUUAGGACUAAAACACAAUAGAAAUCAGAAAAGGGGGUUGUAACUGCUUUAAAUCAGUAAAACCCAAAUCCUAGGUUUCGAAAAUGGCGGAGGAAACAGGGAAGCAACUUACCAGAAGGAGACAUAGAAAGUAAUUGGUUCGAAGUGAAGUCCUUGACGCCAGGAACGGUUUGGCAGCACCCAAGUAAGAUUUGAACGGUUCAAUGGAGAAGAGUAAAGCUAGAGAGAAGGCAGAGGAUUUGAAGAACCUAGUUUGAGAGAGAAGGGAA